This 462-nucleotide ribosomal RNA is filed under the name uncultured bacterium. Its description in RNAcentral is "bacterial SSU rRNA". It matches the Rfam family "Bacterial small subunit ribosomal RNA", at positions 1 to 507 of the family's 1533-position model. The record is from RNAcentral.
UCACUGACGAGUUUGAUCAUGGCUCAGAGCGAACGCUGGCGGCAGGCUUAACACAUGCAAGUCGAGCGGGCGUAGCAAUACGUCAGCGGCAGACGGGUGAGUAACGCGUGGGAACGUACCUUUUGGUUCGGAACAACACAGGGAAACUUGUGCUAAUACCGGAUAAGCCCUUACGGGGAAAGAUUUAUCGCCGAAAGAUCGGCCCGCGUCUGAUUAGCUAGUUGGUGAGGUAACGGCUCACCAAGGCGACGAUCAGUAGCUGGUCUGAGAGGAUGAUCAGCCACAUUGGGACUGAGACACGGCCCAAACUCCUACGGGAGGCAGCAGUGGGGAAUAUUGGACAAUGGGGGCAACCCUGAUCCAGCCAUGCCGCGUGAGUGAUGAAGGCCCUAGGGUUGUAAAGCUCUUUUGUGCGGGAAGAUAAUGACGGUACCGCAAGAAUAAGCCCCGGCUAACUUCGUG